UCCCGGGGCACAGCUCAACUCGUGGAUCAAUCAACAUUGGCUCGCUUCCAGCGGUAGGGUGAAGAGUUCGAUUCCUAGUGGGAACUUGCGGCCAAAAAUUUGGUAUGGAGCAAUCACUGUGGAGGAGGGUCUCUUGUGCGCAGAAGUGUACAGUCAAUGGGGGGAACCUGUGAUCCAGUUGAGGCAUAACCCGCGAUUUACCCCCUCCAAG
This 211-nucleotide long non-coding RNA is filed under the name Olea europaea (common olive). Its description in RNAcentral is "long non-coding RNA (OEUR_LNC003663)". The record is from RNAcentral. Lineage: Eukaryota; Viridiplantae; Streptophyta; Magnoliopsida; Lamiales; Oleaceae.